RNAcentral lists this ribosomal RNA (1425 nucleotides) under uncultured organism. RNAcentral describes it as "16S ribosomal RNA". It matches the Rfam family "Bacterial small subunit ribosomal RNA". The record is from RNAcentral.
ACACAUGCAAGUCGAGGGGCAGCAUCAUCAAUGCUUGCUUUGAUGGAUGGCGACCGGCGCACGGGUGAGUAACACGUAUCCAACCUGCCGACAACACUGGGAUAGCCUUUCGAAAGAAAGAUUAAUACCGGAUGGCAUAAUUAUUCCGCAUGGGAUAAUUAUUAAAGAAUUUCGGUUGUCGAUGGGGAUGCGUUCCAUUAGGCAGUUGGCGGGGUAACGGCCCACCAAACCUACGAUGGAUAGGGGUUCUGAGAGGAAGGUCCCCCACAUUGGAACUGAGACACGGUCCAAACUCCUACGGGAGGCAGCAGUGAGGAAUAUUGGUCAAUGGACGAGAGUCUGAACCAGCCAAGUAGCGUGAAGGAUGACUGCCCUAUGGGUUGUAAACUUCUUUUAUACGGGAAUAAAGUGAGCCACGUGUGGCUUUUUGUAUGUACCGUAUGAAUAAGGAUCGGCUAACUCCGUGCCAGCAGCCGCGGUAAUACGGAGGAUCCGAGCGUUAUCCGGAUUUAUUGGGUUUAAAGGGAGCGUAGGCGGGUUGUUAAGUCAGUUGUGAAAGUUUGCGGCUCAACCGUAAAAUUGCAGUUGAUACUGGCGACCUUGAGUGCAACAGAGGUAGGCGGAAUUCGUGGUGUAGCGGUGAAAUGCUUAGAUAUCACGAAGAACUCCGAUUGCGAAGGCAGCUUACUGGAUUGUAACUGACGCUGAUGCUCGAAAGUGUGGGUAUCAAACAGGAUUAGAUACCCUGGUAGUCCACACAGUAAACGAUGAAUACUCGCUGUUGGCGAUAUACAGUCAGCGGCCAAGCGAAAGCAUUAAGUAUUCCACCUGGGGAGUACGCCGGCAACGGUGAAACUCAAGGGAAUUGACGGGGGCCCGCACAAGCGGAGGAACAUGUGGUUUAAUUCGAUGAUACGCGAGGAACCUUACCCGGGCUUAAAUUGCAACUGACGGAACCGGAAACGGUUCUUUCUUCGGACAGUUGUGAAGGUGCUGCAUGGUUGUCGUCAGCUCGUGCCGUGAGGUGUCGGCUUAAGUGCCAUAACGAGCGCAACCCUUACGGGUAGUUACCAUCAGGUUAUGCUGGGGACUCUACCCGGACUGCCGUCGUAAGAUGUGAGGAAGGUGGGGAUGACGUCAAAUCAGCACGGCCCUUACGUCCGGGGCUACACACGUGUUACAAUGGGGGGUACAGAAGGCAGCUACACGGCGACGUGGUGCUAAUCCCAAAAGCCUCUCUCAGUUCGGAUUGGAGUCUGCAACCCGACUCCAUGAAGCUGGAUUCGCUAGUAAUCGCGCAUCAGCCACGGCGCGGUGAAUACGUUCCCGGGCCUUGUACACACCGCCCGUCAAGCCAUGAAAGCCGGGGGUACCUGAAGUACGUAACCAAGAGGAGCGUCCUAGGGUAAAACUGGUGAUUGGGGC